RNAcentral lists this long non-coding RNA (475 nucleotides) under Homo sapiens (human). RNAcentral describes it as "non-protein coding SPATA3-AS1:13". The record is from RNAcentral. Lineage: Eukaryota; Metazoa; Chordata; Mammalia; Primates; Hominidae.
GCCUGGUGUCCUCCUUCAUCCCAGGCUGCCAGGCUAGGCAGGGGACAGCGGCUGCCCUGGUCCUCACAGCCCUGGCUACGGGGCUGGUGACAGCCAGAUCCUCAUGCUUCUGCGACCUGAGCGCUGCCUUCAGACACCUCUCUGCUGGCGUGUUCCUGGGUCCAUGAUGGAAGAAGGAAAAGUAUUUUUAAAAGACAAUCUGAAGCUCAUACUGUGACUGCAACAUAAAAUGUGUUCACCUGAGGAGACUGCUUUCAUCGCCAGUGUGUCACAGGGCAGCUGAUCCAGGACCGUCCACUUCCAAGCCAGCAGGAGGAUGGAAAAGCAGAAUGGAGGGGAAACAACCUCCUUUGCAGGGCGUGACUCGGAAGUUGGACACAUCAUUUCCAGCCACAUUCCAUGGACCAGAAUUAGCCCUGUGACCAACUCUGGCUGCCAGAAAAUCUGGGAAAUACAGUCUCUGCUUGGGCGAUCA